RNAcentral lists this ribosomal RNA (468 nucleotides) under uncultured bacterium. RNAcentral describes it as "partial 16S ribosomal RNA". It matches the Rfam family "Bacterial small subunit ribosomal RNA", at positions 28 to 507 of the family's 1533-position model. The record is from RNAcentral.
GACGAACGCUGGCGGCGUGCUUAACACAUGCAAGUCGAACGGAAAGGCCCUGCUUUUGUGGGGUGCUCGAGUGGCGAACGGGUGAGUAACACGUGAGUAACCUGCCCUUGACUUUGGGAUAACUUCAGGAAACUGGGGCUAAUACCUGAUAGGAGCUCCUGCUGCAGGGGGGGGGUUGGAAAGUUUCGGCGGUUGGGGAUGGACUCGCGGCUUAUCAGCUUGUUGGUGGGGGAGUUGCUUACCAAGGCAUUGGCGGGUAGCCGGCCUGGGAGGGUGACCGGCCACAUUGGGCCUGAGAUACGGCCCAGACUCCUACGGGAGGCAGCAGUGGGGAAUAUUGCACAAUGGGCGGAAGCCUGAUGCAGCAACGCCGCGUGCGGGAUGACGGCCUUCGGGUUGUAAACCGCUUUCGCCUGUGACGAAGCGUGAGUGACGGUAAUGGGUAAAGAAGCACCGGCUAACUACGUG